ACCCACUCAGGAUCGCUCUGGGAGAGUUUCCAGUAUUCUACCAGUAUCAGCUAAGGGAGGGAGAGUCAAGCAGAGGCUACCCAUUCCAUUCCUAGCUUGGGCAGUGGCUAGCAAGUGGAAGGCAACCUGCUACAAGU
RNAcentral lists this small nucleolar RNA (137 nucleotides) under Ornithorhynchus anatinus (platypus). Lineage: Eukaryota; Metazoa; Chordata; Mammalia; Monotremata; Ornithorhynchidae. The record is from RNAcentral.